GGAGAGGUGCCUGAGUCCGGCUUAAAGGGUCCGCCUCGAAAGCGGAUGUUCUGCCACAAGCGGAACCCUGGGUUCGAAUCCCAGCCUCUCCGCCA
This 95-nucleotide transfer RNA is filed under the name Candidatus Omnitrophota bacterium. Its description in RNAcentral is "Candidatus Omnitrophica bacterium tRNA-Ser". It matches the Rfam family "tRNA". From Rfam's summary of the family: Transfer RNA (tRNA) molecules are approximately 80 nucleotides in length. Lineage: Bacteria; Pseudomonadati; Candidatus Omnitrophota. The record is from RNAcentral.